This 75-nucleotide transfer RNA is filed under the name Muriicola marianensis. Its description in RNAcentral is "tRNA-Met". It matches the Rfam family "tRNA". Rfam says of the family: Transfer RNA (tRNA) molecules are approximately 80 nucleotides in length. Their secondary structure includes four short double-helical elements and three loops (D, anti-codon, and T loops). The record is from RNAcentral. RNAcentral also lists the same sequence under 1 other name. Lineage: Bacteria; Pseudomonadati; Bacteroidota; Flavobacteriia; Flavobacteriales; Flavobacteriaceae.
GGCGAGGUAGCUCAGGUGGUUAGAGCGCAGGAUUCAUAACCCUGAGGUCGGGAGUUCAAGUCUCCCUCUCGCUAC